This 906-nucleotide long non-coding RNA is filed under the name Astyanax mexicanus (Mexican tetra). RNAcentral describes it as "lncRNA (ENSAMXG00005015953.1)". Lineage: Eukaryota; Metazoa; Chordata; Actinopteri; Characiformes; Acestrorhamphidae. The record is from RNAcentral.
AAAGCAGAACGUGCUGUCAUUUUUUAUUCUGACUUCUCUAUUUUGAUCAGAGCAGUGUAUCACAAGUGUAGGACUGAGGAUCUUCUGGAUCUUCUGCUAUCAGCUGUGUUUAAAGAGUGAUGCUGCCAUGUCUCCCCAAAGAUCAGCACAUAUCACAGCAGCAGUGAUCCUCAUUUUACUGGCAGGCCACCAAAUACCAGCUUCAUCUAGAAAUACAGGUAAAUAAACGCACACCCCAGCCCACACACAAUAAACUAAGAUUCUGUAAAAAAAAAAAAAAAAGCAAGUGUGUGUGUGUGUGUGUGUGUGUAGUCCAACAGGUUGUAGGACAGAGUGUGGUGAAACUGACCUGUAGCUCUACCUGCAGCUCCAGUGGAAACUGUUACUACAGAUGGUACGAUGGUUCCUGGUCGAGCAAUUACUUGGGCUGUUCAUCUAGUGCCACAGUUUGGAUCGACUCCACCAGUUCAUCUAAUAAGAAAGGAUACUCCUGUUAUGUCAAUAACAAAGUCCAGCCUCCUUCAGACUGUAAGUACAGCGGUGGUCUGUCUCUCAGUAAAGAGAAUCAUUCAGGAUGUUUAGAACCAGGAACUCGGGUUCUACUUUAGAAUUAUGAGGUUCCUCUUUUGAACAGUCCAGUUCUGAAAAACCAAGUAAGAUUUUACUUCUGUAAAAAAACAAUUUCCAAGAUCAGCUCUUGCUCAUUCAGGAGGCUUCAGGAAUCCUGGUUCUUGUGCUGCAUGAUUUAUUUAGAAAGCCCAGAGAGGUUUAGUGCAGAUACACAGAUAAAUCAACUAUAAAAUUACUGAAAAAUUCCCCCCAAAUUAUAUUUAUACUUAGCACAGAGAUUUGAUUAGCUAUACACAAGCUAAUAAAACUUAAUAUAAGUAUUUAUUGUGUUAUACU